CAAGGAUUACAUACUGAAGUCGAGUUAUGUCCUUCAGCCAGAGAAAGCAGUUAUAAAACUUUGGAAACUGAAGCACAUGGCUGUUUAAUCAUUUUUCUUUUCCUCGUGUCCAAAAUGCCUCCUGGCCAGUCAGUCAUAGCCUGGCCAGUCAGUCAUAGCCUGGCAGAUGCACUUAGCCUCCAGAGAAGCAGGUGGAAUGGUACUGAGCACUUUAGGUCAAGGUGCUGGAUCGGACUUGAGGCCAGAAAUGGGACUAUGGAAGAUGUGAGAAGCCUUACAUUUCUGAGCUAUGUUGGGAAGCCUCCCAGCUACAGGUCAGCCCAAGCCCCUGCCUCACUGUCUGCAAACUGGAUGAGAACCACCUCCCUAUGUUCGGUUUGCUUGACUUCCAAC
Molecule: long non-coding RNA, 393 nt
Filed under: Rattus norvegicus (Norway rat)
Lineage: Eukaryota; Metazoa; Chordata; Mammalia; Rodentia; Muridae
Description: long non-coding RNA NONRATT014224
Source: RNAcentral